Non-coding RNA from Paramuricea clavata, 308 nucleotides. The record is from the annotation of a GenBank genome assembly. NCBI's taxonomy places the organism in Eukaryota, Metazoa, Cnidaria, Anthozoa, Malacalcyonacea, Plexauridae.
CUUAAAUACCAUGUCUAGAGUUCUGAUUUCUAUAAUCACAAAUAGCAAAAAAGACUCUGAAAAUGCCAUUUCCAAUGAUCUAGAGACUCAAAAUUUUCAAAAUUUCCCUGCUCGGUGCCAACCAUGGUAGCGCCUUGUGGGAGUGGGGCCCACUAUGUUUAACAAGCUUCCUACCCCCUGAGUAACCCAAUUGUGGUAUUUACAUAAAUAUACCAUGCAAGUGCACUGAACUGAUCAGAUUCGGUCUAUCAAAGCACAAUGUAACGCUGUAUAUCCAAAAUCUGUUUCAGAAAAUGCUCACAUUUCAG